GAUGAACGCUAGCUACAGGCUUAACACAUGCAAGUCGAGGGGCAGCAUAUUGAUAGCUUGCUAUCAGUGAUGGCGACCGGCGCACGGGUGAGUAACGCGUAUCCAACCUGCCUGUCACUCAGGAAUAGCCCGGUGAAAAACCGGNUUAAGUCCUGAUGAUAUCAUUAGAGGGCAUCUGACGAUGAUUAAAGGUUACGGUGACGGAUGGGGAUGCGUCUGAUUAGCUUGUUGGCGGGGUUAACGGGCCCCACCCAAAGGGCAACGAUCAGUAGGGGUUCUGAGAGGAAGGUCCCCCACGAUUGGAACUGAGACAACGGUCCAAACUCCUACGGAGGCAGCAGUUGAGGAAUAUUGGUCGAAUGGGCGAGAGCCUG
This 374-nucleotide ribosomal RNA is filed under the name uncultured bacterium. Its description in RNAcentral is "bacterial SSU rRNA". It matches the Rfam family "Bacterial small subunit ribosomal RNA", at positions 28 to 385 of the family's 1533-position model. The record is from RNAcentral.